Molecule: long non-coding RNA, 387 nt
Organism: Oncorhynchus kisutch (coho salmon)
Lineage: Eukaryota; Metazoa; Chordata; Actinopteri; Salmoniformes; Salmonidae
Exons: 4
Source: RefSeq, a predicted model, not a curated record
CCAUCACUCGACUCACAACUUCACUGAGGAAAACUGACAGUGGGUGAAUGUAUGAUGGCGCCACCUCAGGACCCACAGUUGGAGAAGCUGGUUGAUGAGGUGCUUAAGAACAGCAAUUUUCAGGCAUUGGGUGACUUCUUGCAAGAUGAUGAGGGAACAACUUGGAGAUGUUCCAAACAAUUCCUCACCAAAUUGGACAAACUUGUUAGUAGGGAAUUAGAUCACAGAAAUGUCAAGCAUGCAUGUUUGGGACUCACGAUCCUGCACAAAUUUGGGAAAAACCUGGCUUUACCUGGAGGUCAAGGCUUAUCUGGGAUGGUACUCCAAGGUCUUGUCAAAAAGAUAAGUAUUUCAACCCUAUUAUACACCCAGUUGCCAGUAUAUUAG